CCCUUAGAUGUUCUGGGCCGCACGCGCGCUACACUGAUGCAUUCAACGAGUCUAAAACCUGUUCUGAUAGUGGUGGGUAAUCUUUUGAAUGUGCAUCGUGAUUGGGAUAGAUGAUUGCAAUUUUUCAUCUUCAACGAGGAAUGCCUAGUAAACGCAAGUCAUCAGCUUGCAUUGAUUACGUCCCUGCCCUUUGUACACACCGCCCGUCGCUCCUACCGAUUGAAUGGUUUAGUGAGGCCUUCGGAUCCGCGACUCGUUUUGUGGAGAAGUUGGACAAACUCAGUCAUUUAGAGGAAGUAAAAGUCGUAACA
This 311-nucleotide ribosomal RNA is filed under the name uncultured eukaryote. RNAcentral describes it as "partial 18S ribosomal RNA". It matches the Rfam family "Eukaryotic small subunit ribosomal RNA", at positions 1470 to 1796 of the family's 1831-position model. The record is from RNAcentral.